UAUGAUUUAGUUUAAAUUAGAAUAGUUAAUUGUCUGUUAAUAGGUGUAUUUUCAAUCAUGU
This 61-nucleotide transfer RNA is filed under the name Girardia tigrina. RNAcentral describes it as "tRNA-Asp". Lineage: Eukaryota; Metazoa; Platyhelminthes; Tricladida; Dugesiidae. The record is from RNAcentral. RNAcentral also lists the same sequence under 1 other name.